GACGAACGCUGGCGGCGUGCUUAACACAUGCAAGUCGAACGAAGAGCGAUGGAAGCUUGCUUCUAUCAAUCUUAGUGGCGAACGGGUGAGUAACGCGUAAUCAACCUGCCCUUCAGAGGGGGACAACAGUUGGAAACGACUGCUAAUACCGCAUACGAUCUAAUCUCGGCAUCGAGGAUAGAUGAAAGGUGGCCUCUACAUGUAAGCUAUCACUGAAGGAGGGGAUUGCGUCUGAUUAGCUAGUUGGAGGGGUAAGGGCCCACCAAGGGGAUGAUCAGUAGCCGGUCUGAGAGGAUGAACGGCCACAUUGGGACUGAGACACGGCCCAGACUCCUACGGGAGGCAGCAGUGGGGAAUCUUCCGCAAUGGACGAAAGUCUGACGGAGCAACGCCGCGUGAGUGAUGACGGCCUUCGGGUUGUAAAGCUCUGUUAAUCGGGACGAAAGGCCUUCUUGCGAAUAGUGAGAAGGAUUGACGGUACCGGAAUAGAAAGCCACGGCUAACUACGUG
This 510-nucleotide ribosomal RNA is filed under the name uncultured bacterium. RNAcentral's name for it is "partial 16S ribosomal RNA". It matches the Rfam family "Bacterial small subunit ribosomal RNA", at positions 28 to 507 of the family's 1533-position model. The record is from RNAcentral.